Molecule: ribosomal RNA, 253 nt
Filed under: uncultured bacterium
Lineage: Bacteria
Description: partial 16S ribosomal RNA
Rfam family: Bacterial small subunit ribosomal RNA
Source: RNAcentral
UACGUAGGGUGCAAGCGUUAUCCGGAUUCACUGGGUUUAAAGGGUUCGUAGGUGGGCAGGUAAGUCAGUGGUGAAAGCUCCGGGCUUAACCCGGAAACUGCCAUUGAUACUAUCAGUCUUGAAUACCGUGGAGGUAAGCGGAAUAUGUCAUGUAGCGGUGAAAUGCUUAGAUAUGACAUAGAACACCAAUUGCGAAGGCAGCUUACUGCGCGAAUAUUGACACUGAGGCACGAAAGCGUGGGGAUCAAACAGG